UACGUAGGGGGCAAGCGUUAUCCGGAAUUACUGGGUGUAAAGGGAGCGUAGGCGGGUUGUUAAGUCAGUUGUGAAAGUUUGCGGCUCAACCGUAAAAUUGCAGUUGAUACUGGCAUCCUUGAGUACAGUAGAGGUAGGCGGAAUUCGUGGUGUAGCGGUGAAAUGCUUAGAUAUCACGAAGAACUCCGAUUGCGAAGGCAGCCUGCUGGACUGUAACUGACGCUGAUGCUCGAAAGUGUGGGUAUCAAACAGG
Molecule: ribosomal RNA, 253 nt
Filed under: uncultured bacterium
Lineage: Bacteria
Description: partial 16S ribosomal RNA
Rfam family: Bacterial small subunit ribosomal RNA
Source: RNAcentral